CCUACGGGAGGCUGCAGUGAGGAAUAUUGCACAAUGGGGGAAACCCUGAUGCAGCGACGCCGCGUGCGUGAAGAAGUAUUUCUGUAUGUAAAGCUCUAUCAGCAGGGAAGAAAAUGACGGUACCUGACUAAGAAGCCCCGGCUAACUACGUGCCAGCAGCCGCGGUAAUACGUAGGGGGCAAGCGUUAUCCGGAUUUACUGGGUGUAAAGGGAGCGUAGACGGCCAGACAAGUCAGAAGUGAAAGCCCAGGGCUCAACCCUGGGACUGCUUUUGAAACUGCUGGGCUGGAGUGUAGGAGGGGUAGGCGGAAUGCCUAGUGUAGCGGUGAAAUGCGUAGAGAUUAGGAGGAACACCAGUGGCGAAGGCGGCUUACUGGACUGCAACUGACGUUGAGGCUCGAAAGCGUGGGGAGCAAACAGGAUUAGAUACCCCGGUAGUC
Molecule: ribosomal RNA, 440 nt
Filed under: uncultured bacterium
Lineage: Bacteria
Description: partial 16S ribosomal RNA
Rfam family: Bacterial small subunit ribosomal RNA
Source: RNAcentral